Molecule: non-coding RNA, 384 nt
Organism: Camellia sinensis
Lineage: Eukaryota; Viridiplantae; Streptophyta; Magnoliopsida; Ericales; Theaceae
Source: RefSeq, a predicted model, not a curated record
AAAGAGAGAUUAAUCAAAGAAAACAGAAGGCGUGAAAAGAAAAUCAUGAAAGAGAGACGGCGGGGAGAAAGAGGAAAAAGGGAGAAAGAAAGGGUUAUAUUUUUAUUUUGGUGACUUUAUAAAUUCUUCAAGUAUUCUCUUGAUCUUUAAAAAAAAUAAUAGUUAGGGUGAAUACUAUACUGGGAUUUGCAGCGCCGUCUCUAUCAGUAAAACUCAAGCAAGCUUUCAGUUUUGGUUCAAAGGAUGCUUCUAUAAUUGAGAGCCAGAACUCAAGUUUGAUCAAGAAAAUGAUGUCCAUUUCUUGGAUGCAUGGCCAAAGAGUGCUAACGUAGGUAAUUUUGUUUUUGUAUUUGAGGUAAUUGUAUUUAUUAUUGCCAUUUCCUA